AUGACCGAAGCCACCGAGCGGGCCCCCGUUGUCCCCCUGCAUUCCUUUCCCCGCCAUCUCCCUCUUCCCUUAUUCUCAUUUCCCAGUUUACUCUCAUCUCCCUCUAUCUCUCUUGCUCUCUAUUGCAGGGAGGCCGCCAUGGACGCCCGAGGUCCUCCGCUCCGACCCAUGCCCCGGCGGCCCUGCCGAAGUCGUCGCCUAGGAAGACCACCAUGCCCACUGCAGGAACUUCGAGCCGACCCUGCAGCAUGGAGACCGCCACCGCCCAUCCGUUGUCGGGAAUCGCCGGAUCCGGCCCCUCUCCGGCCUGCCUCGCCGUCCUUCAUCCGUUCCCGAUAUCUUCCCGGCGCCAGGAGCUCAGGCGAGCGCCGCCACAAGACCCUGCCUCCUCUGCCCCGUAGCUCGCCAUGGAGGUCGUCGCCUCUCCAUCUCAAUCCACGAUGGUCUCCUCCAGGGGCCCGCCAUGGAGGUUGCCGCCUCUCCUGUCUCGAUCCGUCUGCCGCCGGAUCCACGGCGGAGCAGCCGAGAUCCGCCGCCCGUUACGCGACGCCUCGGCCCACCAAGGCCAGCGCCGAGGUCGACAAGGCGCGCAGGAAGGCCAAGGCCCUCACCAAGCAACGGGAGGGCUUGCGGGCUAGGCUCGCCUACCGCAAGCGCGCCCGCAAGCUCACCUCCAUGCCGGCCAAGGCCACCGCCGCGACGCUAGUUUUUUUUAAAACGAAUAGUUUCCCAGAUCCACUUAAUAGGGAUUGCGGGUUGAUUUUGUAG
This 768-nucleotide ribosomal RNA is filed under the name Triticum aestivum (bread wheat). Its description in RNAcentral is "partial small subunit ribosomal RNA". The record is from RNAcentral. Lineage: Eukaryota; Viridiplantae; Streptophyta; Magnoliopsida; Poales; Poaceae.